RNAcentral lists this ribosomal RNA (535 nucleotides) under uncultured bacterium. Its description in RNAcentral is "bacterial SSU rRNA". It matches the Rfam family "Bacterial small subunit ribosomal RNA", at positions 73 to 603 of the family's 1533-position model. The record is from RNAcentral.
AUGUAGCUUGCUACAGGCGUCGAGCGGCGGACGGGUGAGUAACGCGUAGGAACCUACCUAGUAGUUUGGGAUAGCCCAGAGAAAUUUGGAUUAAUACCGAAUACGCCCCACGGGGGAAAGCGGAGGAUCUUCGGACUUCGCGCUAUUAGAUGGGCCUGCGUAAGAUUAGCUUGUUGGUGAGGUAAUGGCUCACCAAGGCAACGAUCUUUAGCUGGUUUGAGAGGAUGAUCAGCCACACUGGGACUGAGACACGGCCCAGACUCCUACGGGAGGCAGCAGUGGGGAAUAUUGCACAAUGGGCGAAAGCCUGAUGCAGCCAUACCGCGUGUGUGAAGAAGGCUCUAGGGUUGUAAAGCACUUUCAGUAGGGAGGAAAGGUUGUAGAUUAAUACUCUGCAGCUGUGACGUUACCUACAGAAGAAGGACCGGCUAACUCCGUGCCAGCAGCCGCGGUAAUACGGAGGGUCCGAGCGUUAAUCGGAAUUACUGGGCGUAAAGCGUACGUAGGUGGUUUGUUAAGUUGGAUGUGAAAGCCC